UUUUAUAGGAAUAUUUUGUUAUUUUCACCUCUCUCACACCAGAAAUCCCUUUUCCUCUUUGUUUCUGUCUCGCUCUCUCCGCCUCUCUCUCACUUUCUGCGUUUCUCGUAGCCUUGCAUCUCUCUCACCUCUCACUCGACGCCGCACAGAUCUUCCCACCUUACCUUCUCCGGCAGCAGCUGUAGCACGGUACGUCCCCCUUUUUCGUCGCUCCCUCCGCCUCGCCUCUCAUUUGUUAGGAAAUUAGACGCAACUAAUUCCGCCCGGGAUCUGGUGUGACGCAAUAUUUUGGAUAUCGACCGAUAUGAAACGAGAAAAAUAAAUGACACCGAUAUUUUUAACGUGGUUCGGCCAAACUGCCUACGUCCACG
Molecule: long non-coding RNA, 371 nt
Filed under: Salvia miltiorrhiza (redroot sage)
Lineage: Eukaryota; Viridiplantae; Streptophyta; Magnoliopsida; Lamiales; Lamiaceae
Description: long non-coding RNA (SMIL_LNC003240)
Source: RNAcentral